Molecule: unclassified non-coding RNA, 358 nt
Filed under: soil metagenome
Description: partial contains 5.8S ribosomal RNA, internal transcribed spacer 2, and large subunit ribosomal RNA
Rfam family: 5.8S ribosomal RNA (bases 1-120)
Source: RNAcentral
GAUGAAGAACGUAGUGAAAUGCGAUAAGUAAUGUGAAUUGCAGAAUUCAGUGAAUCAUCGAAUCUUUGAACGCACAUUGCGCCCGUCAGUAUUCUGGCGGGCAUGCCUGUUCGAGCGUCAUUACGCCCCUCAAGUCCCCUGUGGACUUGGUGUUGGGGAUCGGCGAGGCUGGUUUUCCAGCACAGCCGUCCCUUAAAUUAAUUGGCGGUCUCGCCGUGGCCCUCCUCUGCGCAGUAGUAAAACACUCGCAACAGGAGCCCGGCGCGGUCCACUGCCGUAAAACCCCCCAACUUUUUAUAGUUGACCUCGAAUCAGGUAGGACUACCCGCCGAACUUAAGCAUAUCAAUAAGCGGAGGA